UACCAGCAACCCGAGUGGUCGGGACGAUUAUUGGGCCUAAAGCAUCCGUAGCCGGUUUUACAAGUCCUCCGUUAAAUCCAGCUGCUUAACAGAUGGGCUGCGGAGGAUACUAUAAGACUAGGAGGCAGGAGAGGCAAGCGGGACUCAGUGGGUAGGGGUAAAAUCCGUUGAUCCAUUGAAGACCACCAGUGGCGAAGGCGGCUUGCCAGAAUGCGCUCGACGGUGAGGGAUGAAAGCUGGGGGAGCAAACCGG
Molecule: ribosomal RNA, 253 nt
Filed under: uncultured bacterium
Lineage: Bacteria
Description: partial 16S ribosomal RNA
Rfam family: Archaeal small subunit ribosomal RNA
Source: RNAcentral